RNAcentral lists this small RNA (854 nucleotides) under Homo sapiens (human). RNAcentral describes it as "partial Hum_SGMS1_77". The record is from RNAcentral. Lineage: Eukaryota; Metazoa; Chordata; Mammalia; Primates; Hominidae.
UGCCGAGUCUCCUCUGACAAUGGGCAGCGGCUCCUGGACAUGAUAGAAACCCUGAAAAUGGAGCACCAUUUGGAAGCACACAAGAACGGCCAUGCCAAUGGGCACCUCAACAUUGGCGUAGACAUCCCCACCCCCGACGGCAGCUUCAGCAUCAAGAUUAAACCCAACGGGAUGCCAAAUGGGUAUAGGAAAGAGAUGAUAAAGAUCCCCAUGCCAGAACUGGAGCGCUCUCAGUACCCCAUGGAGUGGGGCAAGACUUUUCUGGCCUUUCUUUAUGCACUUUCCUGUUUCGUUCUCACCACAGUGAUGAUCUCGGUCGUCCACGAACGAGUACCUCCUAAGGAGGUGCAGCCUCCACUACCGGACACAUUUUUUGACCAUUUUAACCGGGUGCAGUGGGCCUUUUCUAUUUGUGAAAUUAAUGGCAUGAUCCUUGUAGGACUCUGGUUAAUUCAGUGGCUGCUCUUAAAAUACAAAAGGAAGAAUCCUGCUCAAAAAUGAGGUGAAUUAAUACUUGGGCGCUCAGGAACCCUGGACAGCUACAUGAGGUGUUUAAAAACUGCCCUGACCAUCUUGCCAAACAAGUCUCUGCUCAUGAGGCCCCACAGGAUGAACGAGCCGAGGCAGGACAGUGUCCUGCCCUGUCGGAACAGUGACUGCUGACCUGCCAAGAGAGAGCUGGGGACUGCCUGCUGUCUGCCAGUACAAUGAAGGAAGUGGUUUAUUGGUCACCCAAGAAGGUGGCAGACUGGCUGCUGGAGAAUGCUAUGCCAGAAUACUGUGAGCCUCUGGAGCAUUUCACAGGCCAGGACUUGAUCAACCUAACCCAAGAGGAUUUCAAAAAACCCCCCUUG